ACGCGCACGACAAUCCCUGCUGUCUGUCGCACCCCAGCUCCCUGCUACCCCGGCCGGAGGGCCUUACACCGCUCCCCGGGGCCCGGCACGCCGCCCGGGCACCUCGGCGGCGUCGCGGCAUCCCCGCCGCGGCACCACGCUCUGCGCCGGCCGCAGCGCGACCCCAGGCCCGGGCCCGCCGCGGCACCUGCCCCGCCGCCGCACGCUCGGGGGACGGGCCGGGGGCGCACGGCAUUAAAAGAGAACCAAAAGCCUUCCAGCCCAGCCGCCAAAAGCCUUACAACCAACCAAAAAAAAUCCAGAAAACAAACCCCACAAAAUCCAGGAAACCCAAACCCCUCUGGUUUGUUUUUUUGUUUGUUUGACUGGGGUUUUUUUUUCGCCCACCAGGAAAUUUGUGGCUCGCUCCUCUUUGUCCGAGCGUCGAGCGCGACCGCGGCUGAGCAUCACCCGCCGCGCCCGCGGCACUGCCCGCUCCCGAGGCGGCGCGGCCGGAGCCUCCCCCGCAUCGCCCCGCCCAGCACGGGCCCCGCCGCCCCCGGGCACCUCGCUCGGCCCUCGCUCGCCGCUGCCCGGCCGCGGCGCCGGCGGUGCGGAAAACACCGGCGGUCCCCGGCGGCUGCGCAACGCAACCCCCGCCAUGGCUCCCAGCGGGCCCCCGGGAAAGGGAGUGGCCGCUGCCCAGCCCACCGGCAGGUACGGGGCAGGGCGACUAGCGCGGCACCCCACAGCCCUGCCCCGCCACUCACCGCUGCCCACGGCGGCGCCCGCUCCUUUGUGUGCCCGCCGCGCCCCGGCACCUCCGUCUCCCGCUGCCGGGCGCCCCGCGCCCCCUCCCCGCCGCGCUGGGGGCGGAGGAGGACGCAGCCGAGAUCCGCGGAGGAGGCCGCUACCGCCCGCCCGUCACAUGCAGCAAAAAGGCGCGGCGCAGGCUCCCGGCGGCUCCCCGGGAGCCCGGCCGGCAGCGUCCGAGGCGAGCUCGGGGGUGAAGAUGGCGACCUCGGCGGCGGGGGAGGGAAUCCCCGGGCCGGCCCGCUCCGCUCCGCUCCGCGCUGCCGGCUGGGCUGGGCGCGCCGGGGAGGGGAGGGGACAAAGAGCGGCUGCCGCUGCCCGUCAGCGCUAUCGCUGUGCCGCCCGCUCCUCCUCCGCCGCCUCCGCGCCGGCCAACCUCCGCCCGCUCCGCGGCGCGCC
This 1191-nucleotide long non-coding RNA is filed under the name Zonotrichia albicollis (white-throated sparrow). RNAcentral's name for it is "lncRNA (ENSZALG00000000565.1)". Lineage: Eukaryota; Metazoa; Chordata; Aves; Passeriformes; Passerellidae. The record is from RNAcentral.